RNAcentral lists this long non-coding RNA (428 nucleotides) under Brassica napus (rape). Its description in RNAcentral is "long non-coding RNA (BNAP_LNC014933)". Lineage: Eukaryota; Viridiplantae; Streptophyta; Magnoliopsida; Brassicales; Brassicaceae. The record is from RNAcentral.
AUGAGAUAUAGAUUCAGUGUGUUCUAUGAUCAAGUUGAAUCCGCUACCACCUGUCUCUAUUAGACCAUGAAAUUAAUUUGGAGAAGUUAACUGAAAUAAAACGUAGAAAAAAAGAAAAAAAGCAGCAUGAAAUUACAAGUUGUUAGGUGAGCAGAAAAGUUAGAGGGUAAAGUGAAUUCCGACGGGGAUGAAUCAUAACUUCGACAUUACCAGAAGAUACAAAAGUUGUCAUGACUUUUUUAAUUUUUGAGUAAUCAGUGGAAAAAGAUUAUAACACCCUAACAAAUAUAAUCUCACACAAGUUACCACUUAUGUAUUUAUCGGAAUAUUGAGUAGACAUGACAUUAUUGUAUACUCCUUAGUAUAUCAUAAACAACAUUUCAGGUUUUUAUUGGAAUGGCUUUUUUAAACAAACCUAUUUUUGGCGC